CCUACGGGAGGCUGCAGUGAGGAAUAUUGGUCAAUGGACGAGAGUCUGAACCAGCCAAGUAGCGUGAAGGAUGACUGCCCUAUGGGUUGUAAACUUCUUUUAUAUGGGAAUAAAACGUUCCACGUGUGGGAUUUUGUAUGUACCAUAUGAAUAAGGAUCGGCUAACUCCGUGCCAGCAGCCGCGGUAAUACGGAGGAUCCGAGCGUUAUCCGGAUUUAUUGGGUGUAAAGGGAGCGUAGGUGGAUUGUUAAGUCAGUUGUGAAAGUUUGCGGCUCAACCGUAAAAUUGCAGUUGAAACUGGCAGUCUUGAGUACAGUAGAGGUGGGCGGAAUUCGUGGUGUAGCGGUGAAAUGCUUAGAUAUCACGAAGAACUCCGAUUGCGAAGGCAGUUCACUGGACUGCAACUGACACUGAGGCUCGAAAGUGUGGGUAUCAAACAGGAUUAGAUACCCUAGUAGUC
This 460-nucleotide ribosomal RNA is filed under the name uncultured bacterium. Its description in RNAcentral is "partial 16S ribosomal RNA". It matches the Rfam family "Bacterial small subunit ribosomal RNA", at positions 338 to 795 of the family's 1533-position model. The record is from RNAcentral.